This 354-nucleotide ribosomal RNA is filed under the name uncultured soil bacterium. Its description in RNAcentral is "bacterial SSU rRNA". It matches the Rfam family "Bacterial small subunit ribosomal RNA", at positions 26 to 370 of the family's 1533-position model. The record is from RNAcentral.
AGGACGAACGCUGGCGGCGUGCUUAACACAUGCAAGUCGAGCGAGAGCCAGCUGAGGGGUAACCCUCGGCUGGGGACAGCGGCGAACGGGUGCGUAACACGUGGGCAACCUGCCCCUGACACGUGGGAUAACCCCGGGAAACCGGAGCUAAUACCGGAUACUCUCGGCCGAUCACAUGGCUGGCCGAGGAAAGGUCCGCCGGUCAGGGAGUGGGCCCGCGGCCUAUCAGCUUGGUGGUGAGGUAACCGCCCACCAAGGCGACGACGGGUAGCUGGUCUGAGAGGACGACAGCCACACUGGAACUGAGAUACGGUCCAGACCUCCUACGGGAGCAGCGAGGUGGGAAUAGUGACA